UAGAAUAUGGUGUAAUUUGGUAGCACGGAGAUUUUUGAAUUCUCAAGAAUAGGUUCAAUUCCUAUAAUUCUAG
This 73-nucleotide transfer RNA is filed under the name Chodsigoa parva (pygmy brown-toothed shrew). RNAcentral describes it as "tRNA-Gln". It matches the Rfam family "tRNA". From Rfam's summary of the family: Transfer RNA (tRNA) molecules are approximately 80 nucleotides in length. Their secondary structure includes four short double-helical elements and three loops (D, anti-codon, and T loops). The record is from RNAcentral. Lineage: Eukaryota; Metazoa; Chordata; Mammalia; Eulipotyphla; Soricidae.